UUAACGCGAAAGAACCUUACCUGGUCUUGACAUCCACGGAAGUUUCCAGAGAUGGAAAUGUGCUUUCGGGAACCGUGAGACAGGUGGUGCAUGGCUGUCGUCAGCUCGUGUUGUGAAAUGUUGGGUUAAGUCCCGCAACGAGCGCAACCCUUAUCCUUUGUUGCCAGCGGUCCGGCCGGGAACUCAAAGGAGACUGCCAGUGAUAAACCGGAGGAAGGUGGGGAUGACGUCAAGUCAUCAUGGCCCUUACGACCAGGGCUACACACGUGCUACAAUGGCGCAUACAAAGAGAAGCGACCUCGCGAGAGCAAGCGGACCUCAUAAAGUGCGUCGUAGUCCGGAUUGGAGUCUGCAACUCGACUCCAUGAAGUCGGAAUCGCUAGUAAUCGUGAUCAGAAUCCUGAAGA
This 407-nucleotide ribosomal RNA is filed under the name uncultured Salmonella sp. RNAcentral describes it as "bacterial SSU rRNA". It matches the Rfam family "Bacterial small subunit ribosomal RNA", at positions 956 to 1365 of the family's 1533-position model. The record is from RNAcentral. Lineage: Bacteria; Pseudomonadati; Pseudomonadota; Gammaproteobacteria; Enterobacterales; Enterobacteriaceae.